This 1680-nucleotide ribosomal RNA is filed under the name human gut metagenome. Its description in RNAcentral is "bacterial LSU rRNA". It matches the Rfam family "Bacterial large subunit ribosomal RNA", at positions 829 to 2524 of the family's 2925-position model. The record is from RNAcentral.
CCAAUCGAACCCGGAGAUAGCUGGUUCUCCUCGAAAUAGCUUUAGGGCUAGCCUCAUGGAUCAUUGAUGGGGGUAGAGCACUGAAUGUGCGCGGGGGCCACAAAGCCUACCAAACGCUAUCAAACUUCGAAUACCAUACAAUGCAGACCAUGGGAGUCAGUCCGCGAGAGAUAAGUUCCGCGGGCAAAAGGGGAACACCCCAGAUCAACCGCUAAGGUCCCCAAGUUCACGUUAAGUGGAGAAGGAUGUGGAAUUGCACAGACAACCAGGAUGUUGGCUCAGAAGCAGCCACACAUUUAAAGAGUGCGUAAUAGCUCACUGGUCGAGUGAUUGUGCGCCGAAGAUGUCCGGGGCUAAACGUGACACCGAAGCGAUGGGUGCAUCUGAAGAAGAUGCGCGGUAGAGGAGCAAUGUGCAGAGGCAGAAGCCGUAUCGAGAGGCACGGUGGACACUGCACAAGAGAGAAUGCCGGUAUGAGUAGCGAGAGGCAUGCGAGAAACAUGCCCGUCGAAAGCCCAAGGUUUCCUGGGGAAGGUUCAUCCGCCCAGGGUAAGUCGGGGCCUAAGCCGAGGACGGAAGUCGUAGGCGAUGGACAGCAGGUGUAGAUUCCUGCACUACCGAUGGAAUGAAGCAGUGACACAGAAGGAUAACUCGAGCAGGGUGAUGGUCAACCCUGUGCAAGCAUCAAGGUUGGGUUGUAGUGAAGUACGCAAUCCUACAAGCUGAGGUGUGAUGCGGACCGAAAUUUUAGUAGGGAAGCGAGUGAGUUCACGCUGGCGAGAAAAGCUGCUAGUAUAUCCAAAGGUACCCGUACCGGAAACCGACGCAGGUGGGCGAGGAGAGAAUCCUGAGACGAACGGGAGAACCCUUGUUAAGGAACUCGGCAAAAUGACCCCGUAACUUCGGGAUAAGGGGUGCCUGCGAGAGCAGGCCGCAGAGAAUAGUCACAAGCGACUGUUUAGCAAAAACACAGGUAUCUGCGAAAGCGAGAGCUGACGUAUAGGUGCUGACACCUGCCCGGUGCUGGAAGGUUAAGGGAACAUGUUAGAGCAAUCGAAGCAUCGAACCGAAGCCCCAGUAAACGGCGGCCGUAACUAUAACGGUCCUAAGGUAGCGAAAUUCCUUGUCGGGUAAGUUCCGACCCGCACGAAUGGUGUAACGACUUGUGAGCUGUCUCAACAGGGGGCCCGGUGAAAUUGAAGUAUGGGUGAAGAUGCCCAUUACCCGCGACUGGACGGAGAGACCCCGUAGAGCUUUACUGCAGCCUGAUAUUGAGUUUCGGUAACUGAUGCACAGGAUAGGUGGGAGUCUGAGAGACAUGGGUUUCGGCUCGUGUGGAGACGCUGUUGGGAUACCACUCUUCGGUUACUGAAAUUCUAACAUAGCUCUGUGAAACCAGAGGAUGGACAGUGUCAGGUGGACAGUUUGACUGGGGCGGUCGCCUCCGAAAGAGUAACGGAGGCGCCCAAAGGUACCCUCAGAAUGGAUGGAAACCAUUCGAAGAGCGCAAAGGCAGAAGGGUGCCUGACUGCGAGAGUGACAACUCGAGCAGAGACGAAAGUCGGGCUUAGUGAUCCGGCGGUAUUGAGUGGAAAAGCCGUCGCUUAACGGAUAAAAGCUACCUCGGGGAUAACAGGCUGAUCUCCCCCAAGAGUCCACAUCGACGGGGAGGUUUGGCAC